This 22008-nucleotide long non-coding RNA is filed under the name Citrus sinensis (sweet orange). RNAcentral describes it as "long non-coding RNA (CSIN_LNC004578)". Lineage: Eukaryota; Viridiplantae; Streptophyta; Magnoliopsida; Sapindales; Rutaceae. The record is from RNAcentral.
ACACCAAUUUUAGUAGCUACUGAUGUGGCGGCACGUGGUCUUGAUAUACCGCAUGUGGCUCAUGUAGUCAACUUUGAUCUCCCUAAUGACAUUGAUGAUUAUGUACAUCGGAUAGGAAGGACAGGACGAGCUGGGAAAUCAGGAUUGGCUACAGCCUUUUUUAACGAGAACAAUUUGUCAUUGGCAAGGCCUCUAGCUGAGCUAAUGCAAGAAUCUAAUCAGGAAGUACCUGCUUGGCUUACUCGUUACGCAUCACGGGCUAAUUAUGGCGGUGGCAAAAAUAAGCGAUCUGGAGGAAACCGUUUUGGUGGUCGUGACUUCAGAAGAGAUGGCUCAUUUACUAGAGGCACAUCUAAUGACUUUUACAGUGGAGUGAAUAGUAGUAGCAAUGCAUAUGGGGUUCCAGGUGGUGGAUAUGGUGGGGGAUAUGGUUAUAGCAAUCCUGGUGUGACCAGUGCAUGGGAUUAAGAUCCCCACCUUACACUGAAAUGUCUUUACAACUGUUCGAGUAUAUAUAUUGUUUUUCUUCAAAAAUUUAUGGAUUAUUCUCUAUCCAUCUUUGUUUACUUCUGUCUUUGGCAAUUCGGUUUCUAGUUUAGGAAAUUCUUUUGCUCUCAGUUUCACGGCAAGGGCUGUGGGCUUAGUCUUAGCUCAACUUAUCAGCUUUGGCGAGGGCUGUGGGCUUAGUGUUAACUCAACUUAUCAGCUUUAACGAAGUUCUGGUGACGUUUGGUUGGAGGUAAAAACUGAAUAGCAUUAGAAAUGUCAAUGGGGAGGGCUUGGAACUGGGUCUCAUUUUUUCCUUUUUGGCAUUUUACAACCAGAGUAUGAUGCAGCAUAGCUUCCCCGACCUGAGUUUAGAAUAUUGAAAGGUUAAAUUUACAGCUGGUUCGCCAAUUCACAUUCGUUUGGCUGAUCAGGGGGUGCGUUGUUUGCAAAAUUUGUUUGUUUGAUGAAAAAUUUUAUCCACAUGGAUAUGUUGAAUCUAAGUUUGAAUUAAUUGACUGAUUCUAUAAGAGAUCUUGUAAGCUGGGGAUGGAUUAAAUCAAUCAACUGGUUGCUUUGCACGUUCGUUGAAAAUCGAUACUAUUGUACCAAUGCUCUCAUGAGUGCAAAAUCUGCUUGCAAUCACCAUGUCUCCCUUUUUUUGUUUGGAUACGAAUAAUGGAAUUAGCAUUCUCAGAAACGAUAAAGAAAGAAUUGGAAGUUUGGAAUUAAAAAAGUAAUUUUCUGAUAUGUCAGUAUUACUUUUUUGAUUUCCUUAUUUCUUUUUCCUUGUGUAAUAAAAUUUGCAAAUUCUACAAGAAGAUUUCUCCCUCCAGUACUCUCCUUGAAGUUGCUUCACGGCAACCCAGCAACAUCAUUUCCAAGCUAAAUUUAAACAGCAAAUGUGGUGGUUUGAAAUUUGGACCCUGGGACAUGAGUGAUGGUAAAACCUGCAGAGAAAAAGAAAAGUAGAUAAUGGAUUCUUGAUUUUUUGCAAGUCAAGAUUUUCAAGUGGAAGUUCUGAAUGAAUUGAAGAAGCUGGAAAAUAUUCUAUUAGCAUAGUUACCAUUUUCUCAUUCUGUGCUCAGUGCAAGUUUGCAAUGGCCAGUGAAUCACUUGAUUUUUUUUUUUUUUUUAACAUGAGACUACUGCUCAAGACUACAACUCAUAUUACAUGAGACUGUAACUGAUAUUUACAAAUCAAAUUAUUACUGGGACAAGAGUACAUUAAUAUCAUAAGAAGCAUUUUAACCAUCACGAAUAAUCGAGAAUGUCUACUCCACUAACAUUUCAUAAGGGAGAAGACCAGCCUCCACUCAAAUUUCAGAGAGCAAUAAGUCUCCAUAUUACUAUAUGGGGACUCGAACUCAAGCGCUCACAAUGUGUGAGAGCUUGAGUUCCAACCACUCGGCCAAAGCUCUGCGAAUCACUUGAUUGCUCAUACUAAACACUCAUCAAAAUAUUCAAUGUUAAUUCGCAUCUUAUAAAAAUUGAUACAAAAUCAUUAAUAAACGUCUUUGAAAAAAAAAUCAUUAUUAAGCAAUCAUGCAACUAAAGCAGAACAUUAACCCAAAGAACACCAACCAUUCCCAACUUAGCUGUAAGGAUAUCUCAUAUAGAUUAUAGAAAGAAACAAACAUAAUUGAAUCAGGACUUAGCAAAUCAAAGGUUGGUAGUCACAGUCAUGCUCGAGUAAAGAAUAACCAAUAGUUAACCACUUUCGAUUAAAAGCACUGACCUCAUGUAAUCAAAAUUCAUAACUUCAUUUCCAAGCAGGUAAAAAUAUUGGCUCCAUUGCAUAAUCAUUAUUCGUUACUCUUCAUCGGACUCAUCCUCCAAUUCUGAGGUUUCCUCGUAGCAUUCGUCACCUGUCUCUAUCUCUUCCUCUUCAGUCUCUUCUUGUUCUGUUUCGUUCUCAAUAUUAUCGUCAAGUGAUAUAUUUAGUGGAGGUAUCAUAUUCACACCUUUAGCACGAUAAAGAAGCCCCAUUCUCAUUACAUGAUAAAAUUUCUUUCUAAGAUUAACAAGAGGAUGCGGAUUCACUAGCUUUCCCCGCUGGUACCCUUCCUUGAGAGUCACGGUAGUUGUCUUACACUUCAGUGAGAGGUAGAAGAUCCCUGGAUACCUGGUGAAUAGUCGAGUAAACUUAUGUGGAAGAUUCAGUUCCUCUCUCAAGCUUCUCAAGUAGUUCCGCUUAGUCUUCUUGUGAAUAGUCAAGCUCAAAAAUUCGUGUAAAAUCCCAACGGCCCGUUUCUCCAUAAGCUCGCUAUUUGGAUCAAUAUUCCUAGAAUCAUCAUAUGGUGAAAUAUAUGGAAGCUUCUGAAACUCAUCCAUCCAUGCUCUCACCUUCUUCUGUGCUCCAUAUCCCCUUGGAAAAUUCAUUGGGAAUGCCAAUGCUGUUUGACCGCUCUUGAAUUGCCUAUACUCAUUACCCAUCUCACUCUUCUCGUUACUUUUCUCCAAUUCAGAAACUGCAAAUUCUUCACGCCAUCGUGAAAGCUGCAAACCCGCAACCCCACUUGAGGUCUUAGCGAAUCGAAAAUCAUCAGAGAAUUUAGGAACUAAUAUCUUCUCAAAAUUAUCUGGCAAACCUAGAUCCCAUUUUAAAGAAUGCAGUGACUGGAGUGGUACUGUCCUAGUCCUCAUCAUCAUAAGUACCCUACACAGCCUCUCCAUGGUAUCAUUCUCAUAAGUAAGGUGUAUUUUCUGCUCAAGUGAGUCCAACAACAGAGCAGUAUCUGUCAGCCGGAAGCAAGGCAAAUUUGCAUAACGGCUAUGAGGAAAUUCAUGAAAAAGAGUAGGAUACCUACAGUAAGCCCAGAAAAUAAUCACCAUAACAACCAUUUUUUUUAAAAGAAAAAACAAAUGGAAUAGAAAAUAUGAUUGUAACCAAUCAAAAAACCAAGCAAAUAGACCAAACAGGUAUGCGAAAAUCCAUUAAAGAAAUAAUUUUCUUUAAGAAAAAGUGAAAGAAAAGAAACCUGCGCAAAAAGCGGAUAACGGGGACAGUGAGGCCAAGGAGCUUGUGCCAAUCAGAGACAGAGUUAGCAGUGAGGAAACCAGUAGAAGAGCGCUUGAUAGCGUCUUUCAAUAAGCAGGCGGCCUUUAGAUCGGUGUCUGUAUCUAUAAUGUGGUCUAGGCCUCGGUUCUUGACCCAUUUUAAACGAACUCUGGUUAUCCAUCGAUUCUGAAGAAGAGUGUUCGCCUUUGCUCCUGAGGGUACUUUAUGUGGUCGUUUCAAAGACAACAGCUUUUCAACUGAGAGGAUUGAAUUUUGGGUUUUGAAGAUCAUCACACAAAGCGAAGAAUUUAAGAUUUAUUGUUAAUAUUAUUGAAUGCUACUUUUACUCGUUUUUUUUUUUUUUUUAAAGUGAAGAGUAAAACACCACGGGGCUGGAUUGCGGGGAAGAAGAAGAAAUGAGAAAGAGAGGGGAAAAAAUGGGAAAUCCCGUCAUUUGUUUUGCUAUUUUAUUAUCAUGACCCGAUAUUUCUCCUUUUCUUACCAAUAGGCCCUUUUUUCUUUUUUUAAUCAAUAACAUCGUCAUCAUCAUCAUUAAAAUAAUUAUUAUUGUUAUGCUCGUAUUGAGCUCUUUGCAACAUUAUCACUAGAGCAUCAAUAACAUGGUUUUUUUUUCAUCAUAGAUUUACCAUCAAAGUUUUGAAUACAAAGUAGAGAUCAUAUGAUAUUAGUACUAAUUCAUAGAGCUCAUAUGAGAAUUCUAAUGACACCACCAAGUAUGACUUAAACAUAUAUUGUCUAUAAAUUUUUGGUGAUGACUAUCAAUAGUUUCAUUUUCUUUUUAAUAAUUUAAAAUACUACUACUUUAAUAUAAACUAUAUUAUAAAAAAGUGUAUACAAUGCCACGCCAAAUAUGGUACCAUACUAUAAUCUAAUCUAAAACGUGAUCCAAUAGAAUCUCCGGUAGGUACACCUUGCUGCACCAAAUGCAACAUUUGCGUGCGCCUAUGUUUGUCAACCCAUGUUUCCUCUUUAGUUUUUUGACAUUCAAUCACAAGUCACAUAUCAUCAAUUAGAUUUCAGUCCUUAAAUCCAACGUUUCAUACUGACCGACUGUAAGUUACUAAUUUAGCCGCAGCCUAUUUCCAAAUAAAACAAAAUUCUCUUAUAUUUAGUGCAGACCACUACACCAGUAACAGAAAGAAGUAUAAAAAAAAAUGAAGAAAGAGAUUUGAUUUCACUCUGAUUUUCAAAUGAAGAUAAAAAACAUUUUCUGCUUUUUUAACUGAUAACUAUGCUUCGUGUUCAAACUUAACUGAAGCACUCGCAUUUCUAACUGUCUUCGUAUUUGUGUUUAAGAAUUUUUUUUGGUUCGAAAUGUUGUUUUUAAGUGUGUUGCUUUUGUUUUUUUUUUUAAUUUAAUAUACUUGCAGCAUAUCAUGCAAAAAAUUUUAAAUUUUUUCAUAAUUUUUGGAUUUUUCAACUUUCAACAUUUUUUUUUUAAAAUUGUUUUGUACAUUUUGCCACCUUUGUACAUUUGGCUAUCUUUCUACCAUCUAUUUUGUUUGGUUAGCUUGAUUAUACUUGCAUUGUUGUUUCCAGGGUAUUUGAUACGAUAGUUACAUUGUUAGAAAGCAAAACAAAAUUUUGAUUUUGACAAACUUAGAGCACUGUGUUUCACUUGUCAUUCAAUACAAGAGGGUAAAUUUUGUGAUUAUGACUGUAUGAGCGCAUCAUGGGCUGCCGAUUCAGUCUUUGCAUCUGAGAAUGCAGCCCCUGCUUCUUCUAGUACCAACACCUUAUCUAGCCCCGCGGCUCGAUUUGCUUAUGUUCCGCAACAUCUGCGUAACAAGCCACGUACCAACCUCAUUUGAACCUCCUUCUUCAUCAUGGGAAGUUAUUGAUCUGCUAGUGGGCCCCACGGGGGCAGUGGUUCAAGGCCUGAUUUUGGGUAUAGUCAGGGUUAUGAUUCUGGUGGUAGAAGCAGCGGUAGUAUUUGGGGGAAGCAUUGAAUCUUAAUAUUAGAAGGUACGUACAAGUAUGUCAAACCCACUCCAGUUCAGCGUCAUGCAACUUCUAUAUUGGUUGCUGGGCGAGAUUUAAUGGCCUGUGCUCAGACAGGAUCGAGGAAGACAACUCCCUUUUGUUUUCCAAUUAUUAAUGGGAUAAUGCGUGAGUAGUAUAUACAGAGACCACGUGGAGCCCGAACUGUUCAUCCUCUGGCUAUGGUUUGGACCCUUUUAUGUUCUAUGUUUUCCUCACUUUUUUCAAUCCUAUUAAUAUUCAUUUUGUGUUGUCUUUUGGUUUUUGCUAAUGCAUCGAUGAAGCUACUCAGCUAGGAAGGAAGUUUUCCUUUCAAACUAGCGUCGAGGUAGUGGUUGCUUAUGGAGGAGGACUAAUGAACUAACAUGUUUCUAUUGUUUUUAUUCUUAAUUGUAUUUUUUGUUUUUCUUCUUUUAGAAAUUAUGAAAUCCUUGAAAAAAAAAACGUUUAUUUGUUACCUUAUAAAUAUUUUAUUUGAUGGUUUUAGGUGUUUUUCGUUGGACUGUCGUCGUCGUUUGUUAUGCUGUGUAUCUGUUUUUAAGUCAAAAUUUUAUUUAUAUUUUGUACUGCCUCCUAACUUAUUUUUGUAUUCAUUUUUUUAUUGUGUUGUCAGUUGCGAGAGCUUGCGAGAUGGGUUGAUAAUCUUAUGGCGACUUUAAGAAGAUUAGUUAAUCUACUUGAGAGAGGUAGAGUUUCAUUACAGAUGAUUAUUAGAUAUUUAGCUCUUAAAGAGGCAGCAGAUCAGACGUUGGAUAUGGCUUUAAAUCAGAAAAAAUAGUAGAGCAAAUUAAUGGAUAUGCAUGCCUCCUUCAGGUGUAGUAAGACAGACGAUGCUUUUGGUGUCGUAUUCCCGAAAGAGAUACAGGUUUUUAAUUUAUAUUUCCUAUAAUUCAAGUAGCUUCUUCGAUCCUUCUGAUUGUUGGAGGUGUACGUUGAUCUUUGCGAGACAUUUAUGAUUGGUUGUUGAGGGCUUACUAGUUACUACUAUUACUGCUCCUGUAGUUCUUUUGUUAAAACCAUUAAGGUGAUCAUUCAGUCUUAGUGCUUAAGACUAAUGAUUUUCUAAAAUGCCUUUGCACUACUAGCAAAUCCUAAUCAAAUCAUGGUUUUGGUUAUUUAUCGAUCACUCAUCAAGAUCGAUUAGACUUGUUUCAGCUAAUUCUAUAAAUUUCCAUAGGAAAAUGAAUUUUCUGUAAAAAAAAAAAAAAGAUUUUUUGAAUUUCCAUAGGAAAAUGAAUUUUCUGUACGAUCACUCAUCAAGAUCGAUUAGACUUGUUUCAGCUAAUUCUAUAAAUUUCCAUAGGAAAAUGAAUUUUCUGUAAAAAAAAAAAAAAGAUUUUUUGUAUAAAAUAUGUGGUUGAGCAUUCUUUUUCUCAUAAUUAGAUAAGAGAAGUCAUCUGAUGGACCUAUUACAUGUACAGGUGGAAAAUAUAGUUCAUGGGCAUCACUCCUUUUAGUUGCCUAUUGUAAUUAUGUAUUCAUUUAUUCUUUUGUUGCAGCAGUUUUGAUGGGAUCUCAUUCUUUGUAGAAUUUAUUUGUAUUAUUCAAAUUGCAUAUGGUAUUCCAUUCUGAUAUUCAAUUUGAUGGGUUGAAUUAUUCUUGGCUUUAUUACAAAGUAUUAUAAAUUGUGUUUUCUUAAUUGUAGAAAGCUUUGACAUUAGUUUACGUACGUACAGACAAAGAAAGGUGUUGAUGCAUUGGAACAAUGGUUGUAUACGGAUGGGUUUCCUGCAACUAUUAUUCAUGGUGAUCGCAGAACACAACAUGUGAGUUUGGCAGGAUCUAUAUGCAGCUAAAGGGACAAAAAAAAAAAAAGUUAGCUAGGUAGAAUCUCAUUUGUUAAGUAUAAGCUAAGCAUAUUGCAAGUAUUUAAGUCAUCAUGUUAAUUUGUAAUAGAAUCGUAUUAGACGGAGACACAAACUUGGCAAUACAAUAUAAGUAUUAUUGGUUGUUUUGACAUAAUAUUUCUGUCUGAUGUUUUGUUUUUUGUAUGUAGUAGGAAAGAGAACAAGCGAUAAGAUCAUUUAAAGAGUGGAAAUUAAAGACACCAAUUUUAGUAACUACAGAUGUGGCAACACGUGAUCUUCAUCAUAUACCACAUGUAGCUAGCUCCUAUAGUCAACUUUGAUCUCCCUAGAUAAUGACAUUGAUGAUUAUGUACGUCGGAUACGAAGGACAAGAAAAGCUGCAGGCAAAUCAAGAUUGGCUAUAUAGCCAUUUUUAACGAGAACAAUUUGUCACUGCAAGGUCUCUACUCUAGCUGAGCUAAUGAAAGAAGCUAAUUAGCAAGUGUCUGCUUGGCUUUCUCGUUAUACAUCACGGGCUAACUAACAAUGGCAGUGGCAAAAAUAAGCGACCUGGAGAAAAUCGUUUUAGUGGCCAAUCGUGACUUUAGAAAAGACGACUAAUUGAAUCAGCUUAGCAGAGGCAGAAGCAAUCCUUUGGGGUCUGCAGGUGGCUAAACAAGUUUCUUCAUCUAGCUUGAUAGUAGAAUCUGAUUGUAAAGAAGUGGCAGAGCUCCUAAACAACACUAAGGGCAGUAUAACAGAAAUUCACUGGAUAUUAUCUGAUAUUCAUAGGGAAAGUAAGGAAUUCUAGCAAGUCCAAUUUUCUUUUAUCCCUAGAACCUGUAAUACUUAUGCCCAUGCCUUAGCAAAGUUUGCUCUAAGGAAUUCUUCCACUGAUGUCGGGGUUGAUACAUUUCCAGCUGAAGUGCAGAAUGUAAUGAAUUGUGUUGUUUCCUAAGGAAUGAAAGGUUUACUUUCUUUUAAAAAAAAGAAAAGAAAAGACGACUAAUUUACUAAAGGCACAUCUAAUGACUAUUAAUUACAGUGGAGUACUGAACAGUAGUAUCAAUGCAUAUAAUAGGGUUCCAAGUGGUGGGGGAUAUAUAUAGUUACAGCAAUCCUGGUCAUGUGAUUAAAAUGAAAUGUCUUUACUGUUCGCCUGAUUAUUAUUAUAAAUAUUUGUCUUUUCUUCAAAAAAAAUUCUCUUUCCAUCUUUGUCUACUUUUUUUAUCUGUAGUUUGUUCAGUCUCUAAUUUAGGAAUUCUUUUUGAAGAAUUUUUUUUUUCAAUAAUGUGUUAUUAUUAAUUUUGAGGAAAAAUUGAUGUUUAAUUAUAAAAUUUAUCCAUGUAUUGCAAAUCUAUAUAGACUAGUUGUUUUUUUUUUUUUCUUCACUUGGGAAUUGUCAGUAUUCUCUCGCUUCUUAUUUCUUUUCUCAACUCAUCACGAUAUUUGCAAAUUUAAUAGAGAAUAUAUUUUUCUUAUACUCUGUCUGCGCUAGGCUAAAAAUGGGCAAAAGUACACUUGACUAAAAAAAAAAAAACUGGCAGUUGAUUUUUGCAAUGGCCAGCGAGCCACUUGAUUGUUUAUGCUAUGUACUCAUCAAAAUAUUCGAUGUGGUACAAUUAUAAAAUUGAAUUUUGUAUCUGUUUUAGUCAAUUCAAAAUCAUUAAUAACGAUCAUUUUUUUUAAUUCUUGAACAUAGAUAUAUUAUAAUUAGAAGUCUAUUGAUAAUUAAGUUAGACAUCCACUGGGAUCAUUUUAGCCAAGGUUUAAUAUUUAAUAUUUUCUCUUGUUGUUGGGUUAUGUAAUCAAUACGACUGUUCAUUUUGCUUAGAUCUUUAUAGUCCCCGGGUGAAAAAUUUCAGCUUUGUUAAGCAAGUGUUUCAUAGCAAAAACUUUAGUAGGGGGAUUGCCAAUUUCCCCCUUAUUAAAAUCAGUAUAUACCACUUACCACCCUAUUAUUUUUAUAAUGAUCAAUUACCACCCUGCCGUUAUAACAGUAAUUGAAAAUGAGGAUAAGAAUGUCAUUUAACUAUUAUUUUUUGAAUUUUAAAUUCUAUUCUGACAUGUGAUGUAAAAAAUUAGGUUUUAACACAAUAAAAUAUAAACUUAGAUGAAAAUAAAAGGUUUUUAAAGUAAAUUUACCCAAAAGAGAAAGUGGCUUUUUAUUUUCUUUACUUCUUAUCAGUUCGGGUGUCAGAGAAAAAGUUUCAAAAUCAAAUUUUUUUCAACUGUCUUUUCGCUAAAGCAUUUGUGUACAUGUGGAGAUGAUUCUAUUACCAUUCCAGGUUAGUGAAUGCUUAAAAGCACACAUUUAAUACAACCGAAAUUUUUAUCUUUAUUUACUAAUUGUUGUCUGUUGAUGCUGAAGUGAUAAUGUUAUGGGUAUUUUCAGAAAAAAUUUCUGAUAAAUAUAUUUAGGCCUAUAAAUAAUAUGGAUGCUAAGUAAUCGGUAUUCUGGUUUUUUAUUUUAAGGAAUAACUCAUUUUUGUAUUUUUUUUAAGUGUACGGAUUGAUGUUGAAUUGGGGAAAAAAAUUGGCUUUGUUUAUGUUUUAAGGUAUUCUUCUUUAUAAGUGUUAAAGAAAAUUAUUUUUUUAAUUGUUAGUUAUUUUGAAUCAUGUGCCUGAAUUAAAAAAAAAUGUUAAUUUUUCUUUUCUAAGUAUCAUGAUUUGAAUAUUUGUAUUGACAGAUGGAUCAAAUACAUGUCAAGGUUCACUUUGAUGGUAAACUAAUUGACCUAGGUGAAUAUGAGAUAGAAUGUUUAAGCUUGGUGGCUCUAAUUAAUUAUGUUAUGGAGAAAGUAGUUAAUAGACAUCGGCUGGAUGAUGAAAAGUUCAUGAUAAUGGCUCAAAUUCCUUCUUCAGGUGCUAAGCAGUUACUAGAGACUGACAUGGAGUUGUUGAGUUUUGUGAACCUAAUGCUAUCUAGAAAAAUUACUUUAUUACUUCUAGAAAUGAAGUCAUUGCCAUUGGAGGCAAUGCAAUCAGACAUUCUUGAAAAUCAUCAAACAUCUUUUAUUCCUGAAAAUUCUUCUGAAAAUACUCUUAAAAGGAUGUUUGAGGCUUAUGAGGAAGACAAUAAACCUACAAUGGCAGAUGCAAUUCAUCAUGAACAAGUAACUAAAUGGACUGACAAACCAUUAGACAAUGAUGAUAAUGAACCAUUAGACAAUGAUGAUGCCAACAGUGUGGAUUCUAUAAAUUGGACUGAUGAUGAAAUUGGGGAAAUUGUGAAGAUUGACAAUGAGGAUGUACAAAACAUAAUAGAUUCUAGUGAUAAUUCUGAUUUUGACAAUAAGGCACUUCUAUCUGAUUAUGAAAGUGGUGAUGAGGAUACUUCACCUGAUGACUUUCAUUUGAACUUAGAUGAAGAUAGUAUUCAGAUGAUGGCCAGAGAAUUAAGAGCACAAAGGUUCAAACAAAUGGCUAAUGAAGAAAUCAUAUUGGAGGUUGGUCAGGUGUUUUCUACUGUAGACAAAUUCAGGAGUGUCCUUAAGGAAUUUGCAAUCCAACAAGGUUGUGUUCUACACAUGGAGAAGAAUGAGAGGGCCAGAGUCACUGCUUUAUAUGCAAACAAAAGAUGCAAGUGGAGAAUUCAUGCUUUAUUGAUGGUAGAUAAAAUUUGUUUCAUGAUCAAAACAAUCAAAGGUGGAGCGCACACGUGCAUACCACUUAUUAAGAACCCUGAGACAACCAGUAAAUGGGUGGCUGAGAAAUUAUUUGGUGUAAUUAAGUCAAAUCCUAGGAUUUCUUCAUCUUCUAUAGCUUCUGUAUUAUUAAAUAGAUUUGGUACUGCUACAAAUAGGAGAAGGCUAUACAGGGCCAAGAAAAGGGUAUUAAAAAUGUGCGAUGGUGAUUAUAUUAACUCAUAUGCGCUACUAAAUGAUUAUGCCAAUGUUUUGCUUAUGACUAACAACGAUGCAAUAGUAAAAAUUAAUCAAGAAUUGGUUGGAAACGAGAAUAAAUUUAAGAGAAUUUUCAUUAGUUUCAAAGCUCAACAACAAGGGUUCAUGAAGGGGUGCAGAGGAUUCAUUGGUUUAGAUGGUUGCCACUUGAAGACAUCUUUUGGAGGCAUUUUGAUUUCUGUUGUUGCUUUAGAUGCAAACAAUGGUGUUUUUCCUUUGGCUGUGUGUAUAUGUGAGGUUGAAUCGAGGGAGAGUUAGACAUGGUUUCUGGAACUAUUUAAAGAGUAUAUGGAUAUCCACAAUGAUAUGGCUAUCUCAUUUAUGUCUGAUAGACAGAAAGGUUUAAUUCAUGCUUUUCAAUAUGUUUUUCCAAGUUUUGAAACUAGAUAUUGUGCAAGACAUGUGUAUGCCAACUUUAGAAAACAACAUUCAGCUGAGAUUUUGAGGGAACACUUUUGGAAAGCGGCAAGAGCCACUAACAAGACUGACUUUGAUGAUGCAAUGACAGCAAUAAACAAAAUUGACGAAAAUGCUUACAAGUGGCUAGUUGACAAUGAUCCAAGCACAUGGUCAUGCCAUCAUUUUGACCCAUUCUACAAGACUGAUCAUGUGACAAAUAACAUGUCAGAGUCAUGGAAUAGUUAUCUAAAUGAGUAUAGAAGGAAACCGAUUUUAGAGGUUCUUGAAUUUAUUAGAAUGAAGCUUAUGAAAAUGAUGAUAAAGAGAUGGAGAAGUGUGAGGAUUGGGAGUCAAAUAUACCUCCACAAGUACAAAAAAAAAUUGCUAAGAUUGCCAAGGCUGCAAGACGUGUGUCAAUUAUAAAAGCAAGCAAAUAUCAAUUUGAACUUGUAGAGAUUAUGCCUGACAUGGAAAGGCACUAUAUUGUGGACUUGAACAAAUGGUAUUGUGAGUGUGGUGGGUGGCAGAUGAGUGGGCUUCCAUGCAAGCAUGCCAUGGCUGGAAUUUUACAUAGUCAUGGCGAGCCAUCUGAUUAUGUUGACAAGAGCUUAACAAAGGAGGCAUAUCUGCUUACUUAUUUAGCAACAAUUAAUCCCCUUCCAGACAGGACUAAUUGGCCUAAAAUUGAUAGGCCAAUUUUAAAGCCUCUUGUAAAAAAAGUUCAACCGGGGAGGCCUAAGUUGAAUAGAAGAAAAGAAGUGAAUAAAGCAAAAAAGAAACCAUUUUAUAAGAGAAGAUUCACUGUGAAAUGCAACAUAUGUCAUGAAAUGGGGCACAAAAAAAAAAAAAUGCCCAGCUUACAAGGUAUAAAUAUUAAAUAUUAAUAAAUUCCGAAAUAAAAUUUUAUUGAAUUGAUGUAGCUUUUGACAUUGUAAAAGGAGAAGGAUGUUUGCUCAAGCUCUGCGAAUUACCAAGCGCUAGCAGAACGAGAAGCUCUACCAGUAGGAGCAGGUAGUGGACUAACCUUAAAAAGUGCCUAUAUUUAAUGUUUGUGAGUAAUAGUAAUAUUUUUUUCAGGAACAAAUAAAGCUCACCAAUUAAUUGGACAACAACAAUUAUCUACAUCCAUUAAAGUGAAGCAAAGUAAAGUAAGGUCUAUGCAGGCUUCACAAGUACAAAUUAAUCAAGUAGUUGCACAAGCACAACCUGAACAAGCACCAGGUAAUAUUUAACCUCUAUGUUAAUUCCUUAUUUUUAUGUCCAUGAAUAAUAACUAAAUUAAUACUUUUUAGGAAUAUAUGGACCUCAAAGUACAAUUGGACAACAACAACCUGCAUAUAUUAUAGUGAGGCAAAGGAGGGCUACACAAGGGCAUGAUCAAGGAACUGGUAACAACAACAAUAAUGGGGUUAUUAAUACCGAGCCUAUUCUAAAAAAAGUCAGAAAAGAGAGCAAAGAUAGGUUGAAUGCAACUCAACCAUCAGCUUCUAUACCCGAUGGCUUUGGUGGUUGCAUGUAGUAUCUAGUAAAAUAUGAUAUCUAAUUAGUUUUGUUAACUAUUGUAGUAGGGGGUAAAGGUGGCUUCAUUCGUUGGGUAUGUGGCAAUAAAAUUCAUACCCAUUUGAAUAUUGUGUUUACUUUUGGUCAGCUAUGAUGGAAUAUUCUUAUAUUAUGAUUACAUUUAGCUUAUAUGUCAUUGAUGUGUCAAACGAUUACUCCUUGAUUUUGAUUAUAACGAAGAUAUAUAAUUUUUUUUUUGGCAAUGCGGUAAGAUUUUGUUGGAUUGUUUUUGUAAUAAGUGAUUGGGUAUUUAUAUUUUUGCAAGAUUAUAAUUGUGGAGACAUAAAUGGUUGAAAUGAUAGAAUAUUCGGGAAUGUUUGUGCAAGGAAUGUGGUUUGACAGAAAUGACGCAAAUUAGGCUAAUUGCAAUUGUGUUUUACGAGUAUAUAUAGCUUGAUUCAUGAAAUUAGAAAAUAAACGUUAGUCUUCCUAUUAAUAUUCAUUUUUUCAAUCCAUAUAUUAAUGGCAAUGAAGUCUUUUUGACUCUAAAAGUAAGGGCACUUUUAAAAUUUCACUUUGUUAUAUAUCAAUUAAAACAUGUGGGUCAUUGUGUAAUUUUAUCCACUAGAGCUAAGAAAAUUGGCGCCAAUCUCCUGUCAUUUGGACACUAGGGGCAAAUAGGUAAAAGUACUUAAAAAUUGAGCAACUUCUAUUAUUGUUAUAACGGCAGGGAGGAAAUUGGUCAUUAUGAAAAUAGUAAGGGGGGAAUUAGUAUAUAAUGAUUUUAAUAAGGGGGAAAAUGACAAUCUCCCUUUUUAGUAGUUGUUCAAAUUUUGAUUGUUAGAAUCUAUCUAAUAAAGAACUUACUUGCAUAGCCAAGUGCAAAAUCUUAUCUCCAAAAUUAACAUGGUAAGAACAAUUGCCACACUCUAGAUAUUAUUGGGAAAGUCAUGGAUUACUUAUUUUAUUUAUUUAUUUAUUUUUAAAUGAAAAACUUUUAUUAAACACUUGAAAAGAAAGACAUUCACGAGUUGAAAUUUUCUCUAACCAAAUUACACAGCUUGAAUUGCUAACAACAUAUUGAAUUGGUAACAACAUAUUUUGCUAAUCUAUGAGCAAUUAUGUUACCACUUUUCAAGACAUGAUUGAUUUUGAAGUGGUCUUUUACACAUAUACAAUCUUGAAUCUUGCAAAUUAACUAAGAUAUUUCCUUCAAGCUUCUAUUUGACCUAUUCACCAAGUUGAUAAUGGUCUUUGAGUCUGAUUCAAUAAUUAACGGUACUGAACCAAUGUCUACUGCUAUUUUAAUUCCAAAAUCUAUAGUUUCAGCUUUAGCAUUUUCAACAUCGCCAUGUAUUGCUUAUUGUUCAACAAAAAAACAUAUAUCUUCUUGUUGCGUAUAAUUUCACAAGCCCUAAUAAAUUUAUAACAUCAUGUGCUAAAUGUUUAAAAAAUUAUCAUUAAUAAGUGUUUUUAUUUAGAUAUACUAGAGCUUCAUUAGAAGUUUUUUUUUUUAAUUUUACUCUUCAAAUAUUUAUUUGUUUAUUUAUGUGAUAAAUAAAAGAGUGAAAAAAUAAAUUCUCUCUUAAAAGACUCUUUAAAAAAAUAAAUUUAUAUUAUUUUAAUCAUAUUUUUUCUUUCAUUAAAAUAUUAGCAAUUAUAACACUUCACUCUCUUUAUGAAUAAUGAGGUAAAAAUAAUUUAAUGUAAAAUUAGAGGCUUUAGAAGAUUCUUUAAAUAAGAUUCUUCAAAUAUUAAAAAGAGGGGACCUUCUUAUUUAAAAAAAUAUCAUUUAAAGAGUUUUUUGAAAUUCUUUUUAUUAAUGUGGCUCUUCAAAUAAUAUGUAAAAUCCUAUUUAAAGAGUCUUUACUAAUACUCUUAGAAUAUAUAUAUAUAUAUAUAGAUAAGUCUUUCUCUAGUGCGGACCUUCAUUUUUUUUCAUGCAGACAUACUUUUAAACCAUGAGGUUUAAAAAAGUUAGUUUUUAACUCUUUUAGACUCCACGGUUUAAAAGUGUGGUUGCAUUAAAAAAAAAAAAAAAAGAGGGCCUUCAUUUUAUUAGAUUGAGGAUAUCAGUAAAAUACCAAAAAAACACAUAUUUUAAUACACUAAUAGACAAAAAAUAUAAUCUUCAAUGUAUUAAAAUCUGUAAUUUUUUUUGUAUUUUAUUGAUAUUCUCACUAUAUCAUAUAGUACAAAUGUUUGAUGUAAAUAUUGUUAAACAUAUAGAUUUUAAGUGAAUUAUUAGAUAACCCAUUUAAUUUUCAUGUUGGGUUAGGGCUUCAAAAUUUUGUCAUGAUUAUUAAAUGAGUCAUGUUUAAGUAAACCCAAAUUUAACAUGUCACAAACAUAACCCAGUAACUCGUUUUGCUAACUCUUUGUUUCUUUAUCUUUCUCUGUGUGUGUUAAUACUCUUUUAUUGGCAAAUGUUAUGUUAUAUAAUAAGAUAACAAACAUAAAAAUAUAAGAAUCGUUGGAUGCGAAGUUUAAAAUCUAAAUGACUGGAAGUGAAAGCUAAAACUAAUAGAGGAGUUGUGGGAAGUUGGAACAAAAGGUGUGGAAACUGACUCAUCUACGAGUGAAACGGUAACUGCUAACUAUGACAUAUUGAAUACAUAAAAAGGUAAUAGAAAUAAAUAUUUGCUUGGUCUGAAGUGAUAGAAUUUUCGAAUUGUGUGUAAAACUUUUAGUAGAGGUUAGUUUAAUAAGUGGAAAAGCUUUGGUAGGGGAAAAAAGAUAAUAGGUAUGCUUGGUUUUAAUGGAUGAAGUCCUUCGACCUUAGAAAAAUUGACUAAGAAAAAAGAUUAAAUUAAUGUGCAACAGGAUUACACUGGAAAUUGAUUCAUGGUUCUGAUCUAAAUUAGUGAGAUCAUACAAACAAUGGAAGGUAAUUUAUCAAGGAGGUACGAUUCCAGGUGGGCAUUGACUUGUAAGGGUCAAUGAGAGUUCACCAUCGAACUCAACAUCUACAUGCCAUGCAUCCACAUUAUCACAUUAUUAAUCCUCAUCAAGGUUCUUCAGUUCAUCCCUCAAUUCACGAGGGAUUUCCUUUCACAAUUGGGAUUAUGCAAAGUUUUGAUCAUACCAUUUCCAUGACUGAUUGUGAUAAAGGGGAGAAAGGAAAAAACUUGUUGAGUAACGAUGAUGAUCCGAGCUUGACUGGGGAGGGUGGUGAAGUUCAUAAUGAUGCUGCUGGCAAAGGAAAGAAGGAAUCACCUUGGCAGCGCAAGAAAUAGGGUAAUAAGAUGGUGAAGCUUUUAAUUAAUGUUGUGUCUUAUGUGUGAGGACACAAGUUUGGAUUGUGGUGAUGGUGCGAGAAGGAAGCUUGUAGUUUUAUAUUUGUUACCUCAUUAUGUAAAUAGCAAGCUCCUCUUUUAUUUUGUGUACAUGAUUUUUAACACCGCACUUGUUUUUUUUUUUUAAAAAAAAAAAUCAGAAGUUUUAAAAUUUUUUAUUUUGACACUAAAAAAGUUAUUACGAGGUUUCAAAAUGUCAUUCUUAUCCUUACCAUUUUUAAAAGACAAAAAAGGACAAUUUAUUUUUUUUCUUUUAAUCUUCAAUUCUACCAAUGGACAGUACAAUCGACUUUGCAGUUUGCAUCUUAAACUUCACUUUGGACUAUUCUUACUCUAACCAUAUUUAAAGGACAAUUUUUUUCUUUUUCAAUUUUACCAAUGGAAGACACAAUCAACUUUGCAUUUCAAAUUUCACUUGGAUUGUUGGACAUAUCUUUUUUGAGUUAAAAUAAAAUUUAUUCUAAUUAAUACUAGGGAGAUUGUCAAUUUUUCAUUGCUAAAAUCAAUGUACAUCAUUUACCUUUUAAUAGUUUUUAUAAUAUCCAAAACUUAUACGGCAUAAAAAAUUUACAAUAGUAGACGGUAAAUGGGUUAUUUAUUUGAUAAUUUAUCUUGAAAAUAUAAAAUAUAUAUUUAUUAUAAAAGUAUUUAAAAAUAAUAAAAAGAUCUUGUUAUUAUUUUUUUUGUUCAUACAACCAAAGCAUAUAUAUUGUUAUUUUAGUACUCAAAUUUUUUAUUUUAAUUCCUAUUAAUAGGAUUUAUUUAAUUUAUAAUGUUUUAUUUUAUAAUAAAUAUGAAUAAAAUAUAUUUAAAAACGAAGAUAAUAUUAUAAAAUUAUGUUGUCAAAAAGUUGUUGACUGAUAUGAUAAUAGUAAGGGAUUAAUUAAGUGAUAUAUGUUCACCUUAGCGGGAGAGUUGACAAUCUCCUUUAUUGUCAUCUUGAAUGUGUAGCCGUUGUUUAUUUAGAAUCAUUUCUGACGAUUUUGCCCUUCUACCAUUAUUUGAUUAAAGGUCAACGACAGUCAACGGAUCUAAGUAUAAAAACAUUGAAACAAACAGGACUUAUGUGUCAAAAUAUUCAAACCUCUGUAAUGUUGUUAUUUUAUAGCAAACAACAGGGAUCGCACCAUAAAAACAGUUUUUUUUUUUUUUUUUUAUAUAUAGAUAUUUUAAAAUUAUAAGGAAUCUCCCUGUAUGGUGCACGCAACCACAACACAAGCAACGAAAAGAAGAAGAAAAAACGAAGAAAUAGAUUUGAUUUUCAUCUGAUUUUUCAAACGAAGGUAAACUUUUUUUUUUCCACAUCUUAAAAAUUAAAAAAAAAAGAUAAAUAUCUCUCUCGUUAUUUCAUAUUUUAACCGAAACUUCUGCUUCGUGUCGGAUCGAAAAAUUAGGGUUUCUUUUCUGUAUUUACAGAUUUACGCCUCGUAGUUCUUCGAAUUUAGACCUCGAGCCUUGUUGAAGCACUCGCAAAUUUUUAUUUGUUUUCGUUUGCGUUUUUGUGUUGAAAAUUUGUUUUUGGUUCGUAAUCGCAUUGUAUGAAUGUUGUCGUUUCUGAUUGUGCUGAUUUUGUUCUCUUAGUAUUGAUGCAUGCAUUUGUUAGGAUUUUAAUUUACUUGCGGCAUAUGGUACAAUAUUAUUUAAAUUUUGUCGAAUUGUUUAACUUUUUUUUUACAUUUUUAUUUAUCGUGUUGUACAUUUCGUGGUCCUUGUACUAUCUAUUUUACUUUGUUUCGGUUUGUUAGCUUGAUUGUAGAUGCCUUCUGGUUUUUCAGAUUUUUGAUCUGCUAGCUAAAUAGUUAGGAAGCAAACGAGAAAUUUCGAUUGAGAAACGUGGAGCAUUGUGUGUUAAUUGUUAAAACAAGGGGAGCUAAAAUUUGGGAAUUAUGAGCACUUCAUGGGCUGAUUCAGUGUCUGCAUCUGAGAAUGCGGCCCCUGCUUCUUCUAAUAUCAGUGCCUUACCUCGUCCCACUCGAUCCACUUAUGUUCCGCCACAUCUCCGUAACAAGCCACCAACCUCUUCUGAACCUCCUGCUUCGUCACGAGAAUCUACUGAACCUGCCAGUGGCCCCGGCUGGGGCAGUGGUUCGAGGCCCGAUUUUGGGCGUGGUCAGGGUUACGGCUCUGGUGGUAGAAGUGGCGGUGGUUGGAAUAAUAGAAGUGGGGGUUGGGACCGAAGGGAACGUGAAGUGAACCCGUUUGGUGAUGAUGUUGGUGCAGAGCAGCCGGUUGCUGAAGAAGAAAACACGGGUAUUAAUUUUGAUGCUUAUGAGGAUAUUCCAGUGGAGACAAGUGGAGAAAAUGUGCCACCGGCAGUUAAUACAUUUGCAGAAAUUGAUUUGGGGGAAGCUUUGAAUCUUAAUAUUAGGAGGUGCAAGUAUGUCAAACCGACGCCUGUUCAGCGUCAUGCGAUUCCUAUAUCGAUUGGUGGGCGAGAUUUAAUGGCCUGUGCUCAGACAGGGUCGGGGAAGACAGCUGCCUUUUGUUUUCCAAUUAUUAGUGGGAUUAUGCGUGAGCAGUACGUACAGAGACCACGUGGAUCGCGGACUGUUUAUCCUCUGGCUCUUAUUCUUGCCCCCACAAGAGAACUCUCGUCUCAGGUAGGAUUUUUGUUUGGACUACUGCACUUUUUCAAACUGGGUAACAAUCAUUUUGUGUCAUUUAUGGGUUGCAGAUCCAUGUUGAAGCCAAGAAAUUUUCCUAUCAAACUGGUGUCAAGGUGGUGGUUGCUUACGGAGGAGCACCAAUCAACCAACAGGUUUCCAUCGUUCUCAUUCUUGAUUGUAUUUUUGGUUUUCUUCUUUUGAAAAUUAUGAAAUCCUUAACAUUUUGGUCCCUGUCUACUUUGUUAGGUGUUCUUUAUUUGUUUUAUCUGGUUUAUUAUGUACUAAAAUUACAACUGCUUGACAUAAAUUUGUGACUAAUUAUUUACUUUUCUUCAACUCAAAAUAUCUUCUUUUUGAAUUCAUAAACUGCAGAAAUUGCUUUCAGGAUGUCUGUGUUGCAACUAUUACCACUGCUGAAAUUUGGGAUUGAUGCAAAUUGAACUGAUAGCUUUUCUCUUAUGUUUGCCGAUGGAGUUCUGACAUUUAUUUGAACUUUCUUGUUAUUUCUCUUUUCUUUUCUUUCUUGUUAUUUCUCUUUUCUUUUCUUUUUUUUUUUUUUUUUUGGGUGAUAUGUUGGAGAUAUAACAAUGUGGUUUGCAUUUCUUCGUUGUUGUCAAAGAUUUUGGAGCCAUGCUUAGAGUCUUUUUUGAUUUAUUGAUCAUUGCUUUGAUUUGGACUGGAAUGGAUGUUGGUGGCCAUUUCGGCUGUGAAUGUUUCUAUCUUCUGUUGGUCGCUGUAACCUUGUCUGAAGUGUAAAAGAUGGGUGAAUUUUUGUGUUAAUAAAAUAGAGGGACAGCUUUCGAUUGACAAGAUUCUUCUCUAUCCGAGAGAGGAUGUAGGAAUGAUGUGUUGCUUUUUUCUUUUGGACAGUUUAUGAUGUUUGUUAUAUUGGUUCACUAGUAAGAAAUGCAAGCUCAUUUGCUGAAUGGUAUCACAUGACCUUUUUAAUUAAUUUUUUUUUUUAACUUAUAAAUUUAUUAUUUGAUAGUAUUAGCUGUUUUUCAUUGUACUGCCUUUGUCUUGAUGCUAUAUUAGUCUUCAAAUUGAAGAUUUUUUAAUAUUUGUUCUACCUACCUUUGUUUUGUAUACUGAUUUUUUGUUGUGUUGUCAGUUGCGAGAGCUUGAGAGAGGGGUUGAUAUUCUUGUGGCAACUCCAGGAAGAUUGGUUGAUCUGCUUGAGAGAGCUAGAGUUUCAUUGCAGAUGAUUAGAUACUUAGCUCUCGAUGAGGCAGAUCGGAUGCUGGAUAUGGGUUUUGAGCCUCAAAUCAGAAAAAUAGUGCAACAAAUGGAUAUGCCUCCACCUGGUAUGAGACAGACAAUGCUUUUCAGUGCCACCUUCCCGAAAGAGAUACAGGUUUUUAAUUUAUAUUUUCUAUGCAAGUUGUUUUUAUCUUUACAAUCACUGGUGGCAUCGAUCUUCAUGUGACAUUCAUGAUUUUCUGUGGAGGGGUUACUACUACUACUACUACCACCUAUUACUAUUACCAUAGUUCAUUUAGUAAAAGUAUUAAGGUUGUUCAAUCUUGGUGCUCGAGACAGUUGAAUUUCUGCCAUGUUUAGUGCUGCUCAUCCAAUCAUAAUCAAAUCAUGGUUUUGAGUCCUUAGGAGGUCCAAUGUUGGGUGGGUUGGAGUUGUGAAAGCUACUUUUAUCCAUUUCAAUAUGAAAAUGAAUUUGCUGUAACAGAGAUAUGUUGUAUAAGAUGUAAUGUUGAAGAGGUUUUCUCCUUUGCAGUGGGAGUUUAUGAUAGAUGUUGAAAUGAGAAUUGGUGUCAAUUCAUCUGACAAUUUUCUUUUGCAAUUUUCUUGGCACGCAGAGAUUGGCUUCGGACUUCCUAGCAAAUUAUAUUUUUCUGGCUGUUGGAAGGGUUGGUUCAAGCACUGAUUUAAUUGUUCAAAGAGUUGAGUUCGUUCACGAGUCAGACAAAAGAAGCCAUCUGAUGGACCUCUUGCAUGCACAGGUGGCAAAUGGAGUUCAUGGCAAGGUAAUUUAAAUUUUGAGUUGCCUAUUUUAGUUAUGUAUUAUUCUUUAUUCUCUGUUUCUAGAAAUUCUGUUUGAUAUUCAAACUGUCUUGAACAACGGUAUGCAUUCUGAUUUAAUUUGAUGGGUUGUAUUAGUUGGCUUUGGUUUGAAGUUAAAUUGCUUUUCCUUUAAUUGCAGCAAGCUUUGACAUUAGUUUUUGUUGAGACAAAGAAAGGUGCUGACGCAUUGGAACACUGGUUGUAUACGAAUGGGUUUCCUGCAACUACUAUUCAUGGUGACAGAACACAACAGGUGAGUUGGUCGGAUCUAUACUUUUGAAGGAAAAAAUUAGUUAGAAUAUCAUUUUUAACUAGAAGAUUAAUAUGAAUAUGCAUGUAUUUUGCUAUUUUUUAUUCAGCAUGUUUUUGCCAGAACAUUAUUAUUGCCUUUGGGGUUGAAAUUGGACUUCUUCUCUUCUGUAACAUUAUUUUGUUUCAAUUUAAUAUUUAUUUUUCCUGAUUGUAAUAGGAAAAUAUCCCUUUGAAAUUUCUUAGUUCAUUGCGUUCUGUUCCUUUUGUCGUGCAGUCUGCUUUGGCCAAGCAGUAGCUGUUAUGACUUGGACAUAAUAAUUCUGAUCUUAUGUUUUUGUGGGCAGGAAAGAGAACUAGCAUUGAGAUCAUUUAAGAGUGGAAAGACACCAAUUUUAGUAGCUACAGAUGUGGCAGCACGUGGUCUUGAUAUACCACAUGUAGCUCAUGUAGUCAACUUUGAUCUGCCCAAUGACAUCGAUGAUUAUGUUCAUCGGAUAGGAAGGACAGGACGAGCUGGGAAAUCAGGAUUGGCCACAGCCUUUUUUAACGAGAACAAUAUGUCCUUGGCAAGGCCUCUAACUGAGCUAAUGCAAGAAGCUAAUCAGGAAGUACCUGCUUGGCUUAAUCGUUACGCAUCACGGGCUAAUUAUGGUGGUGGGAAAAGUAAGCGUUCUGGAGGAAACCGUUUUGGCGGCCGUGACUUCAGAAGAGACGGCUCAUUUACUAGAGGCACAUCUAAUGACUAUUACAGUGGGG